GACGAACGCUGGCGGCGUGCUUACCACAUGCAAGUCGACCGGUGACGCGCCUUACUCUUUGGUGCGUCUGGAUGAGUGGCGAACGGGCGCGUAACACGUGAGUAACCUGCUUCCUUCUACUGAGUAACCGCAUGACACUGUCGCUAAUACGGGCUCUACUGCGCCUGUCGCAUGAUGUGCCUGUGUAGGCUCUAGUUCUGGUGGGGGGUCGGCUCGCGGCCUAGCAGCAUGUUUGUGGGGUGAUGGCGUACCAGGGCGUGGACGGGUAGCCGGCCGGAGGGGGGGGACGGUCACACUGCGACUGAGACACGGGCAAGACUCAUACGGGAGGCAGCAGUGGGGAAUAUUGCACAGUGGGCGCAAGCCUGGUGCAGCGACGCCGCGUGGGGGAGGGAGGCCUUCGGGUUGUGAACCUCUUUCGCCAGUGAAGCAGGCCUGCCUCGUUUGUGGGUGGGUUGACGGUAGCUGGAUAAGAAGCGCCGGCUAACUACGUG
RNAcentral lists this ribosomal RNA (494 nucleotides) under uncultured bacterium. Its description in RNAcentral is "partial 16S ribosomal RNA". It matches the Rfam family "Bacterial small subunit ribosomal RNA", at positions 28 to 507 of the family's 1533-position model. The record is from RNAcentral.